AGAGUUUGAUCCUGGCUCAGAUUGAACGCUGGCGGCAGGCUUAACACAUGCAAGUCGAGCGGGGUUAUGGUGCUUGCACUAUGACUUAGCGGCGGACGGGUGAGUAAUACUUAGGAAUCUGCCUAUUAAUGGGGGACAACAUCUCGAAAGGGAUGCUAAUACCGCAUACGCCCUACGGGGGAAAGCAGGGGAUCUUCGGACCUUGCGUUAAUAGAUGAGCCUAAGUCGGAUUAGCUAGUUGGUGGGGUAAAGGCCUACACAAGGCGACGAUCUGUAGCGGGUCNUGAGAGGAUGAUCCGCCACACUGGGACUGAGACACGGCCC
Molecule: ribosomal RNA, 324 nt
Filed under: uncultured Acinetobacter sp.
Lineage: Bacteria; Pseudomonadati; Pseudomonadota; Gammaproteobacteria; Moraxellales; Moraxellaceae
Description: bacterial SSU rRNA
Rfam family: Bacterial small subunit ribosomal RNA
Source: RNAcentral